UACGUAGGUGGCAAGCGUUGUCCGGAUUUACUGGGCGUAAAGAGCGCGCAGGCGGUCGGAUAAGUCGAAUGUGAAAGCCCCCGGCUUAACUGGGGAGGGUCAUUCGAUACUGUUCGACUGGAAGGCAGGAGAGGGAAGCGGAAUUCCCGGUGUAGUGGUGAAAUGCGUAGAUAUCGGGAGGAACACCAGUGGCGAAGGCGGCUCGCUGGGCUCUACCUGACGCUGAGGCGCGAAAGCGUGGGGAGCGAACCGG
Molecule: ribosomal RNA, 253 nt
Filed under: uncultured bacterium
Lineage: Bacteria
Description: partial 16S ribosomal RNA
Rfam family: Bacterial small subunit ribosomal RNA
Source: RNAcentral